GAGGCUGUAAGCCAGCUGUCUGGAGUACUGGAACUCUCCAACUGAGUCAGCUCCUGUUUACAUCCAGGCUGGUCCUACACCCUGCUCCACCUCUGGCUAGCCCCAGUCCAACUUCAGCCCUUCCUUCAGCAGGGGGUUACUGGUGUUUUGGAAAAUCAAUCGACAUCACACUAGACUGAAAAUAUCUCAAAAUAUCGCUUGCAACUUCCUCCUGCUCCGGGAGGCCCCCACCCAGGACAGCAGCAGCCUUUCCCUGGCUGACGACUUUCUAGAAAUGUUCUUCUAUCCCCGGACACAAGGAAUUUCAAGUUCAUUCCUUCAGUGGUAUUGGAGCCUACUUCAUGGAGAUUACAGCCUAUUGUUAAGACUAAGACAUCCAACGCCAUGGACUGAGAAACCACUGCAUUCUCGAACUUUCCACCAAAAGACAACCAUUGUUGGAAAAGUUAGACCACGGCCUAUGUACCAGAAGAGGGCAUCAGAUGCCAUUACAAUGGUCAUCAUGUGGUUGCUGGAAAUUGAACUCAGGACCUCUGGAAGAGCAGUCAGUGCUCUUAACUGAUGAGCCAUCUCUCCAGCCUAGGAUGGAUAUUUGAAAGGAUCUGGACCAGGCUUUCCCAUUUGCUGAUACCUACAGUCACUGACGCUCUCCUGGGAGCUUGGAGAUCACUGAAAGCCCACGGUGUGAACUGUCUACAAUGCACAUGAGUCUCCUGAGUCACCAGGUGUGAGAGGCAAUAGAUUUGGGGACUCUGUAUGUAAAAAUUUUGACAAUUUGUAAAUAAUAAUAAUAAACAAGGAAAAAUGAUAAGACUGACAGGUUGCACCUAGCAUCUCUAGAUAAGUAAGGAAUGAGAUCCGAAAUAAAAUUAGCCAGCUUCUAGCCUCUCAGACUAUGGUGAAGGACAGCAAUGAACUCAGCAAUAAAACACACCGGCUCUAGAUGCACAGAAACAGUCUAAAGGUUUCUAUGUGUGCCUGGGAAGAGAAUUUUCUUUCCAGCAGCUAUAAAGCUCAAGUUGCAAAAAAAUCAAACUGAAGCCUGCAUGAUAAGACAAAUUAAUGAAUUGCAAUGAAUAUUCACAUCCCAGCCUUAGAGAGUGUAUGCAGUUAACGACAAGGCCAUACUGAUGAAGGGUGGAACCCUAAGACACAAGAAGUUGUACGGGAGGACCCGGAUGAGGCUUCGAACUUUGAACCCUCAGAUUCUCAAGGGUCUAGCUCACCUGAGGAAGAAAUCUCUCUACCCUUAGCAGAAGAUGCACCCAUAUUCACAAUGCCUGAAUAUUACCUGUCCCACCUUUGCCUGAGGAAAUUAAUUCUUCACCGUCUGCUAAACCAGCAGUGACUUUCCCUGAAGGAGAUGCUAGACAGGAGACUCCUGAUGUUCCUCAGGGCCCAUCAGUAGUUGCCUCUAGACCUUUAACCAACACACACACACACACACACACACACACACACACACACAGAGUUUAUAUAUCACAUACUGUUUUUUAAAAAGUAUCAAAAGUAUGAGUAGUUGGUUAAAGAAUUUUCAAAAGAUGACCUAUGGAAAAGGAACUGGAUAUUCCACUUGACUUGGGUGAUGAAGGGAUUUUAAGGUUUAGGAAAAUUGCAAUACUAGAUACACUGGGUGAGUGUAUACUCGAGUGUGCUUUACACUGUGUAAAACCCAGUCAUCCACAAUGGGAAGGCCCAGGUUGUAGUCUCCCCUCCCCCAGCCUGAAACCUGCUUGCUCAGGGGUGGAGCUUCCUGCUCAUUCGUUCUGCCACGCCCACUGCUGGAACCUGCGGAGCCACACCCGUGCACCUUUCUACUGGACCAGAGAUUAUUCGGCGGGAAUCGGGUCCCCUCCCCCUUCCUUCAUAACUAGUGUCGCAACAAUAAAAUUUGAGCCUUGAUCAGAG
Molecule: long non-coding RNA, 1908 nt
Organism: Mus musculus (house mouse)
Lineage: Eukaryota; Metazoa; Chordata; Mammalia; Rodentia; Muridae
Product: predicted gene, 53299
Exons: 3
Source: RefSeq, a predicted model, not a curated record